CCCGCACAAGCGGUGGAGCAUGUGGUUUAAUUCGACGCAACGCGAAGAACCUUACCUGGGCUUGACAUCCCGAUCGUACCUGCUGGAAACAGCGGGGUCAGUUCGGCUGGAUCGGAGACAGGUGCUGCAUGGCUGUCGUCAGCUCGUGUCGUGAGAUGUUGGGUUAAGUCCCGCAACGAGCGCAACCCUUGUCCUUAGUUGCCAUCAUUUAGUUGGGCACUCUAAGGGGACUGCCGGUGUUAAACCGGAGGAAGGUGGGGAUGAUGUCAAGUCAGCAUGGCCUUUAUAUCCAGGGCUACACACACGCUACAAUGGUCGGUACAGAGGGCAGCAAAGUCGCGAGGCGGAGCGAAUCCUUAAAGCCGGUCUCAGUUCAGAUUGCAGGCUGCAACCCGCCUGCAUGAAGUUGGAGUUGCUAGUAACCGCAGGUCAGCAAUACUGCGGUGAAUACGUUCCCGGGCCUU
RNAcentral lists this ribosomal RNA (464 nucleotides) under uncultured Desulfuromonas sp. Its description in RNAcentral is "bacterial SSU rRNA". It matches the Rfam family "Bacterial small subunit ribosomal RNA", at positions 920 to 1382 of the family's 1533-position model. The record is from RNAcentral. Lineage: Bacteria; Pseudomonadati; Thermodesulfobacteriota; Desulfuromonadia; Desulfuromonadales; Desulfuromonadaceae.